Molecule: long non-coding RNA, 2059 nt
Filed under: Capsella grandiflora
Lineage: Eukaryota; Viridiplantae; Streptophyta; Magnoliopsida; Brassicales; Brassicaceae
Description: long non-coding RNA (CGRA_LNC001585)
Source: RNAcentral
UAGUGAUUAAUAUAAAUAUUAUAAUAUUAUAAUAUAUAUUUUCUUUCAAAAUUUAUAUGUACUAUUCGUGAUUUUGUGUAAUAAAAUGAUUAAGUUUAUUUAAUGAUUAAUAUAAAUGUUAUAAUGUUAUAAUACCAAAUUAUAAUAUAGUUGUAUUUGCAAAAAAAAUUAAUUUAGAAUUUUAAACGUCAUAAUUUACAUAUACCUACUGUCUAAUUAUAAAGUUCGUAUAUAUAUCGAAGAAUAUAGUACAUUUGUGUGAAUCAUUUUUUUUCUUUUGUUUAACGAAAACACUUUCGUAAUGUUCCGAUUUUUUGUACUAAGUAUCAUGAUUAAAAAUUAGUGAUUAAAUAGUUGAUAUUAGGAGUGUUUGGUAAUAUUAAUAUGUUCGUGAGUUCAUGUAGUUUUAAUUUUGAUGUGUGCGUAUACUAAGAUAAUUUUUAUACUUUUGUACGUUUUAGUAUGUAUAAUGUUAGCAAACUGUACUCAAUACGUUAUUAUGAAUGAUAUUAUAUGUCUCAUGUGUGUUUUUCUUCAAACUGUUUGUGUAUUUUUUUUUUUUUUAACAAUAGGUAUUAUUGUAUUACACAAUAGUUAUUCGUUUCACGUGUUUUAAUCUAAGAACGAAAUCAAUAAGCUGUUUAAUUAUAUUGAAGCCAUUCUAUCAAACAACAAACAGUUCACCAGAUCUAUGGUCUUAGCAUAAUAGUGACCGUACAUUAUAUUAUACUAAUAUCAAAGAUUAAACGUAAGACAUAAUUUUGGUCAUAGUUUUAGAAUCACUACAUGAGGCUUGCCACUCCAAUCUUUAAUAUCAUAUUAGCACACAAAAGAAAAUGUUUUCUAAUAUUAACACAUAAUAGUUAACUCAAGUAUAAUUUUUUUGUAAAGAAACAACACAUCAAUAUCUGUUAAAGAAUCAAUAAGUAUACAAUGGAUUCCCGAUGAUACUGGAAUAUGAGAGCAAAACUAUUAGAUAGAAAUCUUUAUAUAUGAAGGUUAAAAGAAGUUAGACAAUCAUUCAAAUCCAUUUUUCAUUUUAUAAAACGUGAGAAGCAACAGAUGAUUUGACACACUUAUUAUUCCUGCAAAAUUUUCCACAAAUCAAGCAUAAUAAUCAUUAUAAUAUGAAAUCAAUAUUCUAAACUUUUCUAGAAUUUGAAUAUUAAAUAGGAAGCAUGAACGGAUUUGAAAAAACAAAACUUUGUUGAUGUCAAAAAAAAAAAGACCUUGUAAGAUUUGAUUUAUUGUUUGCUAGUGUAUCAAAGAGCAUAGUAUGAAAAGUAAAGAAAAAAAAGAGCAUCGUAUGAUUGGGUUGAUUUUGUUAUUCUAGACGUGUUAUUUAUAGAGUUUUCUUUGUGUUGAUAGAAUUAUGUUUGAUAUCAUAUCUAAAAUGAUUUAUUGAGCGAACAAAAUAUCUUUGAAAAUAUAUACAUAUUAAAGCUAAGUAUAUACAGUAGUUAGAUAUGAAAUAUCCCACUAAAUUUUCGUUAAUAAUAAUCAUUUAGUUUCUAUUUCAUGUAUAUAUUUAAUUUUGAAUUUGCUUGGAUUGUUAAGUUGGCAUUUAAUUAGCUUACGUUUCCUCUCUCUUAUUUAUUUUAAAUUCGUUUUAAUUGAUUUUUAUCAUUAAUUAGUCAUACUCAUUACGGCAAUAUAGGGAAAUACUACCUAAUUUUGUUUAAUUGUUUUAAAGGAUAUACAAUCGUUAUUAUUGUAUAUUGUACUAAUAAACCAUAAUUCAUGCAUUUAUGGAUUGCGAAAUCUUAACAAAAUUAAUUCUCUCAUAAUUAAUGUGUUUUUUAUUAGAAUUAAUUAUGAGUAACAAUCGGAUUUAUUUGUGGAAACGGUUUAAUGAGGAUUUCCUUAAACACAAUCGGAAUAUUACUUUUAUUUCUUUUUUAAAAACGAUUAAUGAGGAUCCAAGAACUGAAAUCGGGUUUUAAUUUUAGAAUAUAAACCGACCCGAUUUUAAGUUUUACACUAUUAACCUUAAUGACCUUUAGUUAAUAGUUUAAAUAUAAGGGUAUUUUGUGGCAAAUAAUGAAAUAAAAAGAUGGCC